RNAcentral lists this ribosomal RNA (1522 nucleotides) under Klebsiella pneumoniae subsp. pneumoniae. Its description in RNAcentral is "bacterial SSU rRNA". It matches the Rfam family "Bacterial small subunit ribosomal RNA". Lineage: Bacteria; Pseudomonadati; Pseudomonadota; Gammaproteobacteria; Enterobacterales; Enterobacteriaceae. The record is from RNAcentral.
AGAGUUUGAUCAUGGCUCAGAUUGAACGCUGGCGGCAGGCCUAACACAUGCAAGUCGAGCGGUAGCACAGAGAGCUUGCUCUCGGGUGACGAGCGGCGGACGGGUGAGUAAUGUCUGGGAAACUGCCUGAUGGAGGGGGAUAACUACUGGAAACGGUAGCUAAUACCGCAUAAUGUCGCAAGACCAAAGUGGGGGACCUUCGGGCCUCAUGCCAUCAGAUGUGCCCAGAUGGGAUUAGCUAGUAGGUGGGGUAACGGCUCACCUAGGCGACGAUCCCUAGCUGGUCUGAGAGGAUGACCAGCCACACUGGAACUGAGACACGGUCCAGACUCCUACGGGAGGCAGCAGUGGGGAAUAUUGCACAAUGGGCGCAAGCCUGAUGCAGCCAUGCCGCGUGUGUGAAGAAGGCCUUCGGGUUGUAAAGCACUUUCAGCGGGGAGGAAGGCGGUGAGGUUAAUAACCUCACCGAUUGACGUUACCCGCAGAAGAAGCACCGGCUAACUCCGUGCCAGCAGCCGCGGUAAUACGGAGGGUGCAAGCGUUAAUCGGAAUUACUGGGCGUAAAGCGCACGCAGGCGGUCUGUCAAGUCGGAUGUGAAAUCCCCGGGCUCAACCUGGGAACUGCAUUCGAAACUGGCAGGCUAGAGUCUUGUAGAGGGGGGUAGAAUUCCAGGUGUAGCGGUGAAAUGCGUAGAGAUCUGGAGGAAUACCGGUGGCGAAGGCGGCCCCCUGGACAAAGACUGACGCUCAGGUGCGAAAGCGUGGGGAGCAAACAGGAUUAGAUACCCUGGUAGUCCACGCCGUAAACGAUGUCGAUUUGGAGGUUGUGCCCUUGAGGCGUGGCUUCCGGAGCUAACGCGUUAAAUCGACCGCCUGGGGAGUACGGCCGCAAGGUUAAAACUCAAAUGAAUUGACGGGGGCCCGCACAAGCGGUGGAGCAUGUGGUUUAAUUCGAUGCAACGCGAAGAACCUUACCUGGUCUUGACAUCCACAGAACUUUCCAGAGAUGGAUNNNGGUGCCUUCGGGAACUGUGAGACAGGUGCUGCAUGGCUGUCGUCAGCUCGUGUUGUGAAAUGUUGGGUUAAGUCCCGCAACGAGCGCAACCCUUAUCCUUUGUUGCCAGCGGUCCGGCCGGGAACUCAAAGGAGACUGCCAGUGAUAAACUGGAGGAAGGUGGGGAUGACGUCAAGUCAUCAUGGCCCUUACGACCAGGGCUACACACGUGCUACAAUGGCAUAUACAAAGAGAAGCGACCUCGCGAGAGCAAGCGGACCUCAUAAAGUAUGUCGUAGUCCGGAUUGGAGUCUGCAACUCGACUCCAUGAAGUCGGAAUCGCUAGUAAUCGUAGAUCAGAAUGCUACGGUGAAUACGUUCCCGGGCCUUGUACACACCGCCCGUCACACCAUGGGAGUGGGUUGCAAAAGAAGUAGGUAGCUUAACCUUCGGGAGGGCGCUUACCACUUUGUGAUUCAUGACUGGGGUGAAGUCGUAACAAGGUAACCGUAGGGGAACCUGCGGUUG